GUAAUGAUUGGUGCUUGCAUCAUGAUUUACAUUUGAGUGAGUGGCGAACUGGUGAGUAACACGUGGGAAACCUGCCCAGAAGCGGGGGAUAACACCUGGAAACAGAUGCUAAUACCGCAUAACAACUUGGACCGCAUGGUCCGAGCUUGAAAGAUGGCUUCGGCUAUCACUUUUGGAUGGUCCCGCGGCGUAUUAGCUAGAUGGUGGGGUAACGGCUCACCAUGGCAAUGAUACGUAGCCGACCUGAGAGGGUAAUCGGCCACAUUGGGACUGAGACACGGCCCAAACUCCUACGGGAGGCAGCAGUAGGGAAUCUUCCACAAUGGACGAAAGUCUGAUGGAGCAACGCCGCGUGAGUGAAGAAGGGUUUCGGCUCGUAAAACUCUGUUGUUAAAGAAGAACAUAUCUGAGAGUAACUGUUCAGGUAUUGACGGUAUUUAACCAGAAAGCCACGGCUAACUACGUGCCAGCAGCCGCGGUAAUACGUAGGUGGCAAGCGUUGUCCGGAUUUAUUGGGCGUAAAGCGAGCGCAGGCGGUUUUUUAAGUCUGAUGUGAAAGCCUUCGGCUCAACCGAAGAAGUGCAUCGGAAACUGGGAAACUUGAGUGCAGAAGAGGACAGUGGAACUCCAUGUGUAGCGGUGAAAUGCGUAGAUAUAUGGAAGAACACCAGUGGCGAAGGCGGCUGUCUGGUCUGUAACUGACGCUGAGGCUCGAAAGUAUGGGUAGCAAACAGGAUUAGAUACCCUGGUAGUCCAUACCGUAAACGAUGAAUGCUAAGUGUUGGAGGGUUUCCGCCCUUCAGUGCUGCAGCUAACGCAUUAAGCAUUCCGCCUGGGGAGUACGGCCGCAAGGCUGAAACUCAAAGGAUUUGACGGGGGCCCGCACAAGCGGUGGAGCAUGUGGUUUAAUUCGAAGCUACGCGAAGAACCUUACCAGUCUUGACAUACUAUGCAAAUCUAAGAGAUUA
Molecule: ribosomal RNA, 968 nt
Filed under: Lactiplantibacillus plantarum
Lineage: Bacteria; Bacillati; Bacillota; Bacilli; Lactobacillales; Lactobacillaceae
Description: bacterial SSU rRNA
Rfam family: Bacterial small subunit ribosomal RNA
Source: RNAcentral